UGGGGAAUAUUGCACAAUGGGCGCAAGCCUGAUGCAGCCAUGCCGCGUGUGUGAAGAAGGCCUUCGGGUUGUAAAGCACUUUCAGCGAGGAGGAAGGUGGUGAACUUAAUACGUUCAUCAAUUGACGUUACUCGCAGAAGAAGCACCGGCUAACUCCGUGCCAGCAGCCGCGGUAAUACGGAGGGUGCAAGCGUUAAUCGGAAUUACUGGGCGUAAAGCGCACGCAGGCGGUUUGUUAAGUCAGAUGUGAAAUCCCCGGGCUCAACCUGGGAACUGCAUUUGAAACUGGCAAGCUAGAGUCUCGUAGAGGGGGGUAGAAUUCCAGGUGUAGCGGUGAAAUGCGUAGAGAUCUGGAGGAAUACCGGUGGCGAAGGCGGCCCCCUGGACGAAGACUGACGCUCAGGUGCGAAAAGCGUGGGGAGCAAAACAGGAUUAGAUACCCUGGUAGUCCACGCUGUAAAACGAUGUCGAUUUUGGAGGUUGUGCCCCUGAGGCGUGGNUUCCGGAGCUAACGNGUUAAAUCGACNCCGGGGAGUANGGCCCAAGGUUAAAACUUAAAGGGAAUUGCGGGUCUAGC
RNAcentral lists this ribosomal RNA (577 nucleotides) under uncultured bacterium. RNAcentral describes it as "partial 16S ribosomal RNA". It matches the Rfam family "Bacterial small subunit ribosomal RNA", at positions 355 to 924 of the family's 1533-position model. The record is from RNAcentral.